RNAcentral lists this transfer RNA (83 nucleotides) under Didymella exigua CBS 183.55. RNAcentral's name for it is "tRNA-Val". The record is from RNAcentral. Lineage: Eukaryota; Fungi; Ascomycota; Dothideomycetes; Pleosporales; Didymellaceae.
GGUUCGAUGGUGUAGUUGGUUAUCACGUCAGUCUAACAUUCUUAGUCCACUGAAGGUCUCCAGUUCAAGUCUGGGUCGAAUCA